GUAGGAGGACAAACAUGACACAAACCUCCGUAAUUGUUAUAAAUCACACUGUUUAUAUUAAAUAUGCUUCACUGAUUCAAGUAUUUGGCGAGCGCCGUUUUGUCCUACUUAUUUUGGCGGUCCUUGAACUCACCGUAUAGUCUGUUUACAUGCAUAACUUUCUCCGACUUUCUAGGACGUGUUUUAUGCCACUUCUUUUUCUGUCUCAUUUUGUCCACCACACUUUUAACGUUGUACAUGAGUGCACAAAGGUGCAGAAAAAAGGAAGAAGAAGAAAGUGGAAGAGGAGAAAAAAUGCCAUGAUAAAGGAGCAUUGUUAAAAUACUUUGGAGGCACAGAAUCAGCCCAGAGCCAGUCCACAUCCUCAGGCUCAACUGUGAGUGAUGAAUCAGUGCUCUCUCACACACCUCCAUCCUCUGUGCCCACUGUCCCCUCCAUGUCUGAAACCACAGCUGAUUUAUCUACAACUUCCACCACAACGUCCCCUUCACACCAUGGACCAUCAUCAGCUCCGCCAGUUGACCCAGCUGAGUGGCCUUCUUUCCUCUCAGAUUCAGACAGGAUUUAUGUUCUUAACUGGGCCACCCCCAUAUCUUUAUAAAUGACACGUCAUUUGUAAAGACAUGCCAGGCUGACAAUAGGAUAAUGUAAACAACACUGCCAGAGCCGCAAUGAGUUUAUAGUAGGUGUGUGAAUGAUCAAUAAUCAAUAUUAUUGGCAGAUAUAGAGGGCCCCAAAAUCAAAUUUUGCUUAGGGCCCCAUGGAGGCUUGGGCCGGCACUGGGUUUUGGGGAAAGUUGCCCAGAACCUUUAAGUAGGAACUUAAUAAUAACCUAGGUCCCUAUUCUCCCAUGUAAUUGAGUAAAAAAGAUGUACAAAUGCGCAGAUUCUCCCACUUGACUUAAAUCAGUCACUGCGUGCCUUCAUUCGAGAUGCGUAACCCUUAAAUCUGGCCUUUCCUGUAUUCUCCCAUUGACGUAAGUACUUUUGCUCUUAUGUGCUUCUGAGGCUGGAAUGAGUCCAGCGCUCAUGGAGGGUGAAACAUUAUAUUGCAUUUAAGUCCCAUCUUAAAACUCAUUUGUAUACUCUAACCUUUAAAUAGACCCCCUUUUAGACCAGUUGAUCUGCCGUCUCUUUUCUGCUCUGCCCCCCUCUCCUGCGUGGAGAGGUUACCAGGUGACCACAGAUGCAGCGCUAAUUGUUCAAAGUCAGGACCUGGGGUGGACCACUCCUCUGUGCAUCAGUUGGGGGCGUCUCUGCGCUACUGACUUGUCUCCAUUCUAGAUGAUCCCCUGCUGGCCCCACUAUGGACUGGACUCUCACACUAUUAGCUACAUCCACUCGACAUCCAUUGGGAUGUCGAGUGACCACAUCUGCGGUCCCCUCCAAGGUUUCUCGUUGUUCCCAUUGGGUUGAGUUUUUUCUUGCCCUGAUCUGGGAUCUGAGCCGAGGACGUCGUUGUGGCUUGUGCAGCCCUUUGAGACACUUGUGAUUAAGGUUUAUAUAAAUAAACUUUGAUUGAUUGAUGCAGUAUACACCACAUGUAAUAACAAUUAUAAAAGAAACUUACAGAAAAAUAUUAAAUCUAUUCUGAUUGCUUUAAUUUAGACACGUGGAAACAUUCAUUGAGAUGAUGACGAACUAACUCUAAUGCCUUUCUAAAUUAACUGUCAAAAAUCAAAAUGCACAUCAGCACGGUCCUCUUACAGCGGAAGAAGACCGUGUGUAUGUUUGGACUUCCAGAGACUGAAGGACAAUCCUUACAUACAAGGAUUUAAUCUGGAUUGUGAGGUCAUCCUCAAACUAUGUGACUAUGUAAUGGAAAAUACAUAUUUAA
Molecule: RNA transcript, 1836 nt
Organism: Entelurus aequoreus (snake pipefish)
Lineage: Eukaryota; Metazoa; Chordata; Actinopteri; Syngnathiformes; Syngnathidae
Exons: 5
Source: RefSeq, a predicted model, not a curated record